Betta splendens (Siamese fighting fish) is the source of this 726-nucleotide long non-coding RNA. RefSeq lists it as uncharacterized. NCBI's taxonomy places the organism in Eukaryota, Metazoa, Chordata, Actinopteri, Anabantiformes, Osphronemidae. The record is from RefSeq and is a predicted model, not a curated record. The transcript is spliced from 2 exons.
UGCUUUUUUGCUCAUUAAAGUUCAAAGUUUGCAGUUAAAGUAACAGCUUUUACCUUGCAGCUGUCAUGAACCUGCUGGCUUAGUUCACCUUUGCUUUUCAGUCAUGUGAUCACCAGGUGUUUCUUAUCAGUAAUUACUCUCCAGCAUUUAAGCUUCAGCACUCACCUGUUCCGUUUGCCAGAUUGUUCGUUCAAGCACCCUGUUUGUCAUCUGUCCAGCGUUUUCAAGUGCGUCUAAUCCACCAUGCUGUUCACUUGUCCUGGAUUACCUGAGGACCUCCGUGUUUCGCGGAAGUCCGUGUUUCGCCGCUCCGCCGUCUUGGCCCGGAGAAGGCCAUUCUUGUCCUUGUCGUCUCUGAAGAGGAGGCCGUCCCUGUCGGCCCUGAAAAGGAGGCCGUUCUAGCUCCUGUUGGCCCCGAAGAGGAGACCGUUCUAGCUCCUGUCGGCCCCAAAGAGGAGACCGUUCUAGCUCCUGUCGGCCCCAAAGAGGAGGCCGUUCUAGUCCCUGUUGGCCCCAAAGAGGAGGCCGUUCUAGCUCCUGUUGGCCCGGAAAAGGUCAUUCUUGUCCUUGUCGUCCCUGCCUCAGUCCCUGCCGGCCGUGAAGAGGCCGCUCCUGUCUGGUGCCUUCUGCUUUCCUGUGCACAGGUGUCAUGCUUGGAGGUGCCGGUGGUUCCGGCAGGAGCACGUUUGCCGUUUGGUUUAUAGUAUUAAAUCCUGUUUGCCUUAA